GAUGCGGUGGCUGAGUCUAGGCGAUAAAUUGUAAAUUUAUAAACGAAUUUCAUAUUCCCGCAUCA
Molecule: transfer RNA, 65 nt
Filed under: Tenebrionoidea sp. 9 KM-2017
Lineage: Eukaryota; Metazoa; Arthropoda; Insecta; Coleoptera
Description: tRNA-Tyr
Rfam family: tRNA
About the family: Transfer RNA (tRNA) molecules are approximately 80 nucleotides in length. Their secondary structure includes four short double-helical elements and three loops (D, anti-codon, and T loops). Further hydrogen bonds mediate the characteristic L-shaped molecular structure. tRNAs have two regions of fundamental functional importance: the anti-codon, which is responsible for specific mRNA codon recognition, and the 3' end, to which the tRNAs corresponding amino acid is attached (by aminoacyl-tRNA synthetases). tRNAs cope with the degeneracy of the genetic code in two manners: having more than one tRNA (with a specific anti-codon) for a particular amino acid; and 'wobble' base-pairing, i.e. permitting non-standard base-pairing at the 3rd anti-codon position.
Source: RNAcentral